RNAcentral lists this long non-coding RNA (588 nucleotides) under Ananas comosus (pineapple). Its description in RNAcentral is "long non-coding RNA (ACOM_LNC033824)". Lineage: Eukaryota; Viridiplantae; Streptophyta; Magnoliopsida; Poales; Bromeliaceae. The record is from RNAcentral.
UUUUACUUACUCUUAUUUAUGUUUUUAUACUCAAUUAAAUAAAAAAAUUAUCAAAUUUUAUAACUUUUAAUUAAUCUAAUUUUAUCUACUAAAAGCAUUAAAUUUAUUAAUUUUAAUAAACUUAUCAACAAAUUUGAUAAAAUUUUAGAAUAUUUUGAUUCUCAACUAAGAAAUACAAUUUGAAAAUCAGAUGGAAAGGCUGAUUCGAUUGGUUCGAUCGUGACUCAGCCUAUUAAGCAGUUAGAUGCAACUUUUGUAACUGGAUAAUUUAAAAAAAUCGUUUUGAAUUAUUCAAACCAAUGGUUUAACUAUCGAACCGAUGAAUCGGUUUGAUCUUAAUCAAGCUGGCUGAAUUUUUUUAUCAAGUCUUAUUAGAAUCGAACAAAUUAAAAUCAAUUUGAUUUAUUUUAUUUUCUAUUAGUAUAGAUUAAUCUUAUAGAAAAAUUAAAAAUUUAUAUCAACUUAAUUUAGUUUAAAAAUUAAUACUUUAUAAUUAAGUAUGCUAUUAGAAUAACAAUAUGUAUACAUUUUUUAUGUAAUAAAUUUAAAAAUAUUUAUGACAUCAUGCUGGUGCACUAGUUUAGUUGA